GGAUGAACGCUGGCGGCGUGCCUAAUACAUGCAAGUCGAGCGAACAGACGAGGAGCUUGCUCCUCUGACGUUAGCGGCGGACGGGUGAGUAACACGUGGAUAACCUACCUAUAAGACUGGGAUAACUUCGGGAAACCGUAGCUAAUACCGGAUAAUAUAUUGAACCGCAUGGUUCAAUAGUGAAAGACGGUUUUGCUGUCACUUAUAGAUGGAUCCGCGCCGCAUUAGGUAGUUGGUAAGGUAACGGCUUACCAAGGCAACGAUGCGUAGCCGACCUGAGAGGGUGAUCGGCCACACUGGAACUGAGACACGGUCCAGACUCCUACGGGAGGCAGCAGUAGGGAAUCUUCCGCAAUGGGCGAAAGCCUGACGGAGCAACGCCGCGUGAGUGAUGAAGGUCUUCGGAUCGUAAAACUCUGUUAUUAGGGAAGAACAAAUGUGUAAGUAACUAUGCACGUCUUGACGGUAACUAAUCAGAAAGCCACGGCUAACUACGUG
This 498-nucleotide ribosomal RNA is filed under the name uncultured bacterium. RNAcentral's name for it is "partial 16S ribosomal RNA". It matches the Rfam family "Bacterial small subunit ribosomal RNA", at positions 27 to 507 of the family's 1533-position model. The record is from RNAcentral.